GCUGCUGCCGUGGCUAAUCGCCGGAGUUGCGAAAAUCACGGGCGAAAUCAACGAAUUUUCCGCGCGGUUGCCUGCGAUGAUCGCGGUGGUGCUGACGGGGCUGCUGGUUCAGUCACUGACGCGUCGCUACGCGAGCCUGAACGCAUCGCUGCUUGCGGCGGUGCUGUUCAUGUUUUCUCCGAUGCUGUUGCAGAAGCUCGCGA
Molecule: unclassified non-coding RNA, 203 nt
Filed under: Hevea brasiliensis (rubber tree)
Lineage: Eukaryota; Viridiplantae; Streptophyta; Magnoliopsida; Malpighiales; Euphorbiaceae
Source: RNAcentral